GACGAACGCUGGCGGCGUGCCUAAUACAUGCAAGUAGAACGCUGAAGAGAGGAGCUUGCUCUUCUUGGAUGAGUUGCGAACGGGUGAGUAACGCGUAGGUAACCUGCCUUGUAGCGGGGGAUAACUAUUGGAAACGAUAGCUAAUACCGCAUAACAAUGGAUGACACAUGUCAUUUAUUUGAAAGGGGCAAUUGCUCCACUACAAGAUGGACCUGCGUUGUAUUAGCUAGUAGGUGAGGUAACGGCUCACCUAGGCGACGAUACAUAGCCGACCUGAGAGGGUGAUCGGCCACACUGGGACUGAGACACGGCCCAGACUCCUACGGGAGGCAGCAGUAGGGAAUCUUCGGCAAUGGGGGCAACCCUGACCGAGCAACGCCGCGUGAGUGAAGAAGGUUUUCGGAUCGUAAAGCUCUGUUGUAAGUCAAGAACGAGUGUGAGAGUGGAAAGUUCACACUGUGACGGUAGCUUACCAGAAAGGGACGGCUAACUACGUGCCAGCAGCCGCGGUAAUACGUAGGUCCCGAGCGUUGUCCGGAUUUAUUGGGCGUAAAGCGAGCGCAGGCGGUUUGAUAAGUCUGAAGUUAAAGGCUGUGGCUCAACCAUAGUUCGCUUUGGAAACUGUCAAACUUGAGUGCAGAAGGGGAGAGUGGAAUUCCAUGUGUAGCGGUGAAAUGCGUAGAUAUAUGGAGGGACACCGGUGGCGAAAGCGGCUCUCUGGUCUGUAACUGACGCUGAGGCUCGAAAGCGUGGGGAGCGAACAGGAUUAGAUACCCUGGUAGUCCACGCCGUAAACGAUGAGUGCUAGGUGUUGGAUCCUUUCCGGGAUUCAGUGCCGCAGCUAACGCAUUAAGCACUCCGCCUGGGGAGUACGACCGCAAGGUUGAAACUCAAAGGAAUUGACGGGGGCCCGCACAAGCGGUGGAGCAUGUGGUUUAAUUCGAAGCAACGCGAAGAACCUUACCAGGUCUUGACAUCCCGAUGCUAUUUCUAGAGAUAGAAAGUUACUUCGGUACAUCGGUGACAGGUGGUGCAUGGUUGUCGUCAGCUCGUGUCGUGAGAUGUUGGGUUAAGUCCCGCAACGAGCGCAACCCCUAUUGUUAGUUGCCAUCAUUCAGUUGGGCACUCUAGCGAGACUGCCGGUAAUAAACCGGAGGAAGGUGGGGAUGACGUCAAAUCAUCAUGCCCCUUAUGACCUGGGCUACACACGUGCUACAAUGGUUGGUACAACGAGUUGCGAGUCGGUGACGGCAAGCUAAUCUCUUAAAGCCAAUCUCAGUUCGGAUUGUAGGCUGCAACUCGCCUACAUGAAGUCGGAAUCGCUAGUAAUCGCGGAUCAGCACGCCGCGGUGAAUACGUUCCCGGGCCU
Molecule: ribosomal RNA, 1369 nt
Filed under: uncultured bacterium
Lineage: Bacteria
Description: bacterial SSU rRNA
Rfam family: Bacterial small subunit ribosomal RNA
Source: RNAcentral